Molecule: ribosomal RNA, 497 nt
Filed under: uncultured bacterium
Lineage: Bacteria
Description: partial 16S ribosomal RNA
Rfam family: Bacterial small subunit ribosomal RNA
Source: RNAcentral
GAUGAACGCUGGCGGCGUGCCUAAUACAUGCAAGUCGAGCGAACGGACGAGAAGCUUGCGUCUCUGAUGUUAGCGGCGGACGGGUGAGUAACACGUGCAUCACCUACCUAUAAGACUGGGAUAACUUCGGGAAACCGGAGCUAAUACCGGAUAAUAUUUUGAACCGCAUGGUUCAAGAGUGAAAGACGGUUUUGCUGUCACUUAUAGCUGGAUCCGCGCUGCAUUAGCUAGUUGGUAAGGUAACGGCUUACCAAGGCAACGAUGCAUAGCCGACCUGAGAGGGUGAUCGGCCACACUGGAACUGAGACACGGUCCAGACUCCUACGGGAGGCAGCAGUAGGGAAUCUUGCACAAAGGGCGAAAGCCUGACGGAGCAACGCCGCGUGAGUGAUGAAGGUCUUCGGAUUGUAAAACUCUGUUAUUGGGGAAGAACAGAUGUGUAUGUAACUGUGCACAUCUUGACGGUACCUAAUCAGAAAGCCACGGCUAACUACGUG